CCUACGGGAGGCAGCAGUGAGGAAUAUUGGUCAAUGGACGAGAGUCUGAACCAGCCAAGUAGCGUGAAAGAUGACUGCCCUAUGGGUUGUAAACUUCUUUUAUAUGGGAAUAAAAUGUUCCACGUGUGGGAUUUUGUAUGUACCAUAUGAAUAAGGAUCGGCUAACUCCGUGCCAGCAGCCGCGGUAAUACGGAGGAUCCGAGCGUUAUCCGGAUUUAUUGGGUGUAAAGGGAGCGUAGGUGGAUUGUUAAGUCAGUUGUGAAAGUUUGCGGCUCAACCGUAAAAUUGCAGUUGAAACUGGCAGUCUUGAGUACAGUAGAGGUGGGCGGAAUUCGUGGUGUAGCGGUGAAAUGCUUAGAUAUCACGAAGAACUCCGAUUGCGAAGGCAGUUCACUGGACUGCAACUGACACUGAGGCUCGAAAGUGUGGGUAUCAAACAGGAUUAGAUACCCCUGUAGUC
Molecule: ribosomal RNA, 460 nt
Filed under: uncultured bacterium
Lineage: Bacteria
Description: partial 16S ribosomal RNA
Rfam family: Bacterial small subunit ribosomal RNA
Source: RNAcentral